UGCAAGUCGAGCGGAGAUGAGGUGCUUGCACCUUAUCUUAGCGGCGGACGGGUGAGUAAUGCUUAGGAAUCUGCCUAUUAGUGGGGGACAACAUUCCGAAAGGAAUGCUAAUACCGCAUACGCCCUACGGGGGAAAGCAGGGGAUCUUCGGACCUUGCGCUAAUAGAUGAGCCUAAGUCGGAUUAGCUAGUUGGUGGGGUAAAGGCCUACCAAGGCGACGAUCUGUAGCGGGUCUGAGAGGAUGAUCCGCCACACUGGGACUGAGACACGGCCCAGACUCCUACGGGAGGCAGCAGUGGGGAAUAUUGGACAAUGGGCGGAAGCCUGAUCCAGCCAUGCCGCGUGUGUGAAGAAGGCCUUUUGGUUGUAAAGCACUUUAAGCGAGGAGGAGGCUACUUAGAUUAAUACUCUAGGAUAGUGGACGUUACUCGCAGAAUAAGCACCGGCUAACUCUGUGCCAGCAGCCGCGGUAAUACAGAGGGUGCGAGCGUUAAUCGGAUUUACUGGGCGUAAAGCGUGCGUAGGCGGCUGAUUAAGUCGGAUGUGAAAUCCCUGAGCUUAACUUAGGAAUUGCAUUCGAUACUGGUCAGCUAGAGUAUGGGAGAGGAUGGUAGAAUUCCAGGUGUAGCGGUGAAAUGCGUAGAGAUCUGGAGGAAUACCGAUGGCGAAAGCAGCCAUCUGGCCUAAUACUGACGCUGAGGUACGAAAGCAUGGGGAGCAACAGGAUUAGAUACCCUGGU
This 740-nucleotide ribosomal RNA is filed under the name Acinetobacter sp. RNAcentral describes it as "bacterial SSU rRNA". It matches the Rfam family "Bacterial small subunit ribosomal RNA", at positions 56 to 791 of the family's 1533-position model. The record is from RNAcentral. Lineage: Bacteria; Pseudomonadati; Pseudomonadota; Gammaproteobacteria; Moraxellales; Moraxellaceae.